UACGUAGGGUGCAAGCGUUAAUCGGAAUUACUGGGCGUAAAGCGUGCGCAGGCGGUUUUUUAAGUCUGACGUGAAAUCCCCGGGCUCAACCUGGGAAUUGCGUUGGAGACUGCAAGGCUGGAGUCUGGCAGAGGGGGGUAGAAUUCCACGUGUAGCAGUGAAAUGCGUAGAGAUGUGGAGGAACACCGAUGGCGAAGGCAGCCCCCUGGGUCAAGACUGACGCUCAUGCACGAAAGCGUGGGGAGCAAACAGG
RNAcentral lists this ribosomal RNA (253 nucleotides) under uncultured bacterium. RNAcentral's name for it is "partial 16S ribosomal RNA". It matches the Rfam family "Bacterial small subunit ribosomal RNA", at positions 524 to 776 of the family's 1533-position model. The record is from RNAcentral.